UCCAUAUCCACCUUGUGUGCAAUGUCAUCUCACUGGGGUCACGGCUGUAAAACGCCGGCGGCUCGUUUGGGAUUUAUAUCUACUCAGAAUUUUAAUCAUUUUGUCUGAAACAUAUUAUGAAUAACUUAAUUCAAAAUACAACUUUCAACAACGGAUCUCUUGGCUCUCGCAUCGAUGAAGAACGCAGCGAAAUGCGAUACGUAAUGUGAAUUGCAGAAUUCAGUGAAUCAUCGAAUCUUUGAACGCAUAUUGCGCUCUCUGGUAUUCCGGAGAGCAUGCUUGUUUGAGUAUCAGUAAACACCUCAACUCUAUUUCUUCUUGAAAUGGAGCUGGACUUGAGUGAUCCCAACGCUUUUUUCAAAAGUGGCGGGUUACUUGAAAUGCAGGUGCAGCUGGACUUUUCUCUGAGCUAAAAGCAUAUCUAUUUAGUCUGCCUAAAAACAGAUUAUUACCUUUGCUGCAGCUAACAUAAAGGAGAUUAGUUCUUGUGCUGACUGAUGCAGGAUUCACAGAGACAGCUUCGGCCGUCUUUGUAAACUCGAUCUCAAAUCAAGUAAGACUACCCGCUGAACUUAAGCAUAUCAAUAAGCGGAGGAAGGGAUCAUUCAUAAUCAAGUGUUUUUAUGGCACUUUAAAAAUCCAUAUCCACCUUGUGUGCAAUGUCAUCUCACUGGGGUCACGGCUGUAAAACGCCGGCGGCUCGUUUGGGAUUUAUAUCUACUCAGAAUUUUAAUCAUUUUGUCUGAAACAUAUUAUGAAUAACUUAAUUCAAAAU
This 775-nucleotide ribosomal RNA is filed under the name Mortierella sp. QLF71. RNAcentral describes it as "eukaryotic LSU rRNA". The stretch from base 140 to 293 matches the Rfam family "5.8S ribosomal RNA". Lineage: Eukaryota; Fungi; Mortierellomycota; Mortierellomycetes; Mortierellales; Mortierellaceae. The record is from RNAcentral.